UGGCGGACGGGUGAGUAACGCGUGGAAAACCUGCCGUAUACUGGGGGAUAACACUUAGAAAUAGGUGCUAAUACCGCAUAAGCGCACAGCUUCGCAUGAAGCGGUGUGAAAAACUCUGGUGGUAUACGAUGGCUCCGCGUCUGAUUAGCUAGUUGGUGGGGUAAUGGCCUACCAAGGCAACGAUCAGUAGCCGGCCUGAGAGGGUGAACGGCCACAUUGGGACUGAGACACGGCCCAAACUCCUACGGAAGGCAGCAG
RNAcentral lists this ribosomal RNA (258 nucleotides) under uncultured bacterium. RNAcentral describes it as "partial 16S ribosomal RNA". It matches the Rfam family "Bacterial small subunit ribosomal RNA", at positions 96 to 354 of the family's 1533-position model. The record is from RNAcentral.